ACGCUGGCGGCGUGCCUAAUACAUGCAAGUAGAACGCUGAAGGAGGAGCUUACUCUUCUGGAUGAGUUGCGAACGGGUGAGUAACGCGUAGGUAACCUGCCUGGUAGCGGGGGAUAACUAUUGGAAACGAUAGCUAAUACCGCAUAACAGUAGAUGUUGCAUGACAUUUGCUUAAAAGGUGCAAUUGCAUCACUACCAGAUGGACCUGCGUUGUAUUAGCUAGUUGGUGGGGUAACGGCUCACCAAGGCGACGAUACAUAGCCGACCUGAGAGGGUGAUCGGCCACACUGGGACUGAGACACGGCCCAGACUCCUACGGGAGGCAGCAGUAGGGAAUCUUCGGCAAUGGACGGAAGUCUGACCGAGCAACGCCGCGUGAGUGAAGAAGGUUUUCGGAUCGUAAAGCUCUGUUGUAAGAGAAGAACGAGUGUGAGAGUGGAAAGUUCACGCUGUGACGGUAUCUUACCAGAAAGGGACGGCUAACUACGUGCCAGCAGCCACGGUAAUACGUAGGUCCCGAGCGUUGUCCGGAUUUAUUGGGCGUAAAGCGAGCGCAGGCGGUUAGAUAAGUCUGAAGUUAAAGGCUGUGGCUUGACCAUAGUACGCUUUGGGAACUGUUUAACUUGAGUGCAAGAGGGGAGAGUGGAAUUCCAUGUGUAGCGGUGAAAUGCGUAGAUAUAUGGAGGAACACCGGUGGCGAAAGCGGCUCUCUGGCUUGUAACUGACGCUGAGGCUCGAAAGCGUGGGGAGCAAACAGGAUUAGAUACCCUGGUAGUCCACGCCGUAAACGAUGAGUGCUAGGUGUUAGACCCUUUCCGGGGUUUAGUGCCGCAGCUAACGCAUUAAGCACUCCGCCUGGGGAGUACGACCGCAAGGUUGAAACUCAAAGGAAUUGACGGGGGCCCGCACAAGCGGUGGAGC
Molecule: ribosomal RNA, 921 nt
Filed under: uncultured bacterium
Lineage: Bacteria
Description: bacterial SSU rRNA
Rfam family: Bacterial small subunit ribosomal RNA
Source: RNAcentral